RNAcentral lists this ribosomal RNA (492 nucleotides) under uncultured bacterium. Its description in RNAcentral is "partial 16S ribosomal RNA". It matches the Rfam family "Bacterial small subunit ribosomal RNA", at positions 28 to 507 of the family's 1533-position model. The record is from RNAcentral.
GAUGAACGCUAGCUAUAGGCUUAACACAUGCAAGUCGAGGGGAAACGGCAUUAUGUGCUUGCACAUUUUGGACGUCGACCGGCGCACGGGUGAGUAUCGCGUAUCCAACCUGCCCUUUACUUGGGGAUACCCCGUUGAAAGACGGCCUAAUACCCGAUGUAAUUCAUUGAUGGCAUCAGAUAUGAAUAAAAGAUUUAUCGGUAAAGGAUGGGGAUGCGUCUGAUUAGCUUGUUGGUGAGGUAACGGCUCACCAAGGCGACGAUCAGUAGGGGUUCUGAGAGGAAGGUCCCCCACAUUGGAACUGAGACACGGUCCAAACUCGUACGGGAGGCAGCAGUGAGGAAUAGUGGUGAAGGGGAGCAAGCCUGAACCAGCCAAGUAGCGUGCAGGAAGACGGCCUUAUGGGUUGUAAACUGCUUUUAUACGAGAAUAAUUUGAUGCACGUGUGCGUUAUUGCAUGUAUCGUAUGAAUAAGGACCGGCUAAUUCCGUG